GAGGAAAGUCCGGGCUCCACGAAAACACGGUGCCGGAUAACGUCCGGCGGGGGCGACCCCAGGGAAAGUGCCACAGAAAGCAAACCGCCCGGCUCCGGCCGGGCAAGGGUGAAAGGGUGCGGUAAGAGCGCACCGCGGCCCCGGCGACGGGGACGGCACGGCAAACCCCACCGGGAGCAAGACCGAAUAGGGACGGCGCGCCGCAAGGCAGGCGACGUUUUCGCGCCGCCGUCCGGGUUGGUCGCUCGAGGCGUCUGGCAACAGCCGCCCUAGAUGAAUGGCCAUCCCCCGCCCUCGGGCGGGGACAGAACCCGGCUUA
This 319-nucleotide RNase P RNA is filed under the name uncultured Alphaproteobacteria bacterium. RNAcentral's name for it is "RNaseP_bact_a". It matches the Rfam family "Bacterial RNase P class A", at positions 43 to 351 of the family's 367-position model. From Rfam's summary of the family: Ribonuclease P (RNase P) is a ubiquitous endoribonuclease, found in archaea, bacteria and eukarya as well as chloroplasts and mitochondria. Lineage: Bacteria; Pseudomonadati; Pseudomonadota; Alphaproteobacteria. The record is from RNAcentral.